GUCCAGCUGAAGAGUCCCAAAGAGGACUAAACGCCCGUCCUGAAU
Schistosoma margrebowiei is the source of this 45-nucleotide non-coding RNA. Lineage: Eukaryota; Metazoa; Platyhelminthes; Trematoda; Strigeidida; Schistosomatidae. The record is from Rfam.